Molecule: long non-coding RNA, 511 nt
Filed under: Prunus dulcis (almond)
Lineage: Eukaryota; Viridiplantae; Streptophyta; Magnoliopsida; Rosales; Rosaceae
Description: sRNA ncRNA
Source: RNAcentral
GCAGUGGCGGAUCCACAGAGGCGCAAGGAGGUGCAGCUGCACCUCCCCUUGCCGGAAAUCCAGGGAAGAAGCUGGAAACUGCCCCUCUGCUGGUGUGCCUGCCAUGUGCUCGUCAUAUCCCUCUGCUGCCCACCGCGUUUUUGACUAAAUGUCUCAAAGAUUGAGAUAAACGGAGAGAUAGAGAAAACCCAUAAAGAUUAUGAAUUGGAAUUUAAGUUUUUCGGAUGUGGUUUCUUGUGUGUUUUGACUCAAAGCUACGUCAAGGAAUUUUUGUUCUUGAAAUUUGUAGAGGUGACACUGCGCCUCGCGAAGAAGACGAUGCCUGGGUGUUGGUGACCUAAUAAACUCUACGCACCGUUUUGUCUAUAGCCUCCUUUGAUUUAAACGGUUUGUUUAGUGUUUGAUUGUACAACCUCUCAGCUUGGUUUUAUGAUAAUGACUAGAUUUUAAAAUAAAAAAAUUCCUAUUGGCCAAUACAAUAGAAAUACAAAACCCUUUAAACACGUACCAG